GAUGAACGCUGGCGGCGUGCCUAAUACAUGCAAGUCGAGCGAACAGAUAAGGAGCUUGCUCCUUUGACGUUAGCGGCGGACGGGUGAGUAACACGUGGGUAACCUACCUAUAAGACUGUGAUAACUUCGGGAAACCGGAGCUAAUACCGGAUAAUAUUUCGAACCGCAUGGUUCGAUAGUGAAAGAUGGUUUUGCUAUCACUUAUCGAUGGACCCGCGCCGUAUUAGCUAGUUGGUAAGGUAACGGCUUACCAAGGCGACGAUACGUAGCCGACCUGAGAGGGUGAUCGGCCACACUGGAACUGAGACACGGUCCAGACUCCUACGGGAGGCAGCAGUAGGGAAUCUUCCGCAAUGGGCGAAAGCCUGACGGAGCAACGCCGCGUGAGUGAUGAAGGUCUUCGGAUCGUAAAACUCUGUUAUUAGGGAAGAACAUACGUGUAAGUAACUGUGCACGUCUUGACGGUACCUAAUCAGAAAGCCACGGCUAACUACGUG
RNAcentral lists this ribosomal RNA (497 nucleotides) under uncultured bacterium. RNAcentral's name for it is "partial 16S ribosomal RNA". It matches the Rfam family "Bacterial small subunit ribosomal RNA", at positions 28 to 507 of the family's 1533-position model. The record is from RNAcentral.